UAGAAAGGUCAACUUUGUUCCAGAAAGCA
RNAcentral lists this non-coding RNA (29 nucleotides) under Mus musculus (house mouse). Lineage: Eukaryota; Metazoa; Chordata; Mammalia; Rodentia; Muridae. The record is from RNAcentral.